This 97-nucleotide ribosomal RNA is filed under the name Escherichia coli. RNAcentral's name for it is "partial 23S ribosomal RNA". It matches the Rfam family "Bacterial large subunit ribosomal RNA", at positions 2828 to 2925 of the family's 2925-position model. RNAcentral also lists the same sequence under 86 other names. The record is from RNAcentral. Lineage: Bacteria; Pseudomonadati; Pseudomonadota; Gammaproteobacteria; Enterobacterales; Enterobacteriaceae.
GAAGGAACGUUGAAGACGACGACGUUGAUAGGCCGGGUGUGUAAGCGCAGCGAUGCGUUGAGCUAACCGGUACUAAUGAACCGUGAGGCUUAACCUU